UACGUAGGGGGCAAGCGUUGUUCGGAAUUACUGGGCGUAAAGGGCGCGUAGGCGGCUCGGCAAGUCGGGAGUGAAAGCCCGGGGCUCAACCCCGGAACGGCUCUCGAAACUGCCGGGCUCGAGUGCGGAAGAGGCAACCGGAAUUCCCAGUGUAGCGGUGAAAUGCGUAGAUAUUGGGAAGAACACCUGAGGCGAAGGCGGGUUGCUGGGCCGACACUGACUCUGAUGCGCGAAAGCCAGGGGAGCGAACGGG
Molecule: ribosomal RNA, 253 nt
Filed under: uncultured bacterium
Lineage: Bacteria
Description: partial 16S ribosomal RNA
Rfam family: Bacterial small subunit ribosomal RNA
Source: RNAcentral